UGUACCGGCCUCGGGUCGUUGAGCGUGAGGAUAAACGAACGGGGCGCCCCAUCGCAUCGCGACUGUCACCACCGCUCACCCUAUGCAGAUAAAACUCGCAGCACACAUACGUCAGCCCAGCCCCCACACAAGGUGCGUGCUUAUACGAGCGCACACAAUAGAUUAGAGUCGUACACACCCAGAGAGAGAGGGAGAGAGAGAGGGAAGGGGCGAGACAGUAGAGUUGACGUGUGAGCACGGAUACGUGCGCUCACCUAGCAGCCAUUCCGGUGCCUUUCGAGUAGGGCCAGGCUCAGGUGCGGUUUGACGAACCUCUUCGGUUUUUGUUUUCUGUCUCUUGUGUGGAGCCGCUUUUGCUUUCAUAGAACCCACCCCACGAGCUGCAUCACCAGCGGUCGUCAUGGGCUCCCACAAGAAGGCCGCUGCCGUCUCUUCGAUGGACACGUUCGAGGAGGUUGGCCGCAUCUUUCAGCAAGUGCACCAGAGCGCCGCCCACGCGCAGAAGUGCAAGAAGAAGCUCAUCAGCCUCGGCCAGGAGAGCGCGCCGCAACUCUGCAGAAAUGUGUGCGAUGUCGUGCUGCUGAUCCUGAAGCAGGUGACUCAAAUCGCGCCUGAGGCGAUGCGAAGGCACUACGCCUUCGUCACUGAGCUCUGUAAGGCGUUCCGCGAGUCCUUCGAGUCGGACCAGCUGGCCAUUGAGCUGCUGAAGAGUGUUUCGGCCUUCCACAACGCGAUGGACAAGGCUGUGCGGCUGGCCGUCGUAUCCACCUUUGAGGCCCUGCUAAAGACGGUGGACCAAAGCAACGUGUCGGAGGAGCGGCAGGACUUCUACCAGGAGGCUGCGGAGCUGCUGAAGCAGCGCGUGCAUGAUAAGUGCCCGCAGGUUCGUGCGAAGGCGGUCGCCAGCGUGGCUGCCUUCCAGUCCGGGAAAAAAGACUGCGACGUCACACAGCAGCUCAUUGCACUGCUGUGCUGCGACACCAACGCCGACGUGCGCAAGCAGAUCCUCCACUCCAUUGCGCCGCGCAAGGAGUUUCUCGAGGGGUACUUCCACGGCAUUAUCCGCUGCAUUCGCGAUGUCGUGGCGCGCGUGCGGGCGGAGGCGUGGGACGUGCUAGGCCGCUUUCCGUGGCGCUACAUCACCGCCUACGCGGAUGCCAAGGGAGUGAAGAUGCCGGAGCUGCUCGCGGCCGGGCUUGACGACUCCAACGCAUCGGUCGUCAUUGCCUGUCGAGCCGCCAUCACCAACUCUUGGGUGCACCGUGACUGUAAGGAUGUGUGUGAAGAUUUCAUGAACAGCAUCGCGUGUGGGUACGUGCUCCCGUCGCUGUCGCCGUACGAGCGCAUCAGUGCGGAGCUGCUUGUACACGCGCGAAAGCGCCAGGCCAACACACACUUUCCCUUGAAGCUCGACGACAUCAACACGGCGGGGCUGCUCUUAUGGAAGGCGGACUGUCGUGUGUCGUGCGACACGGAGGGCGAGGACGAGACACAGCUGCUGCCGCCGCUGGGGCAGUUCAGCGCCGUUCUCCAGGAUACUGUGUACGCCUACGCGCGCCCCGAUGCGGAGCCCAAGACGGUCAAGUUCCGCAGCGUCGAGGACGCCGACAACAUGCUGCGUAUUCUGCUCUCGGUUUUUGACAUCUACGACGACAAUGCCUACUUGGCACACGCCGACAACACCACGCGCGCAUCGCUGCUGCGCCUCAUCAACUUUAUCUUGAAGGUUGUGCCUGACGAAGAUCCGUCGCUCUUCGUGGACGUCGCCGUGCGCGCUCUCAAGUCGCUCACCGCCCGCACGCCGGAGGAGGCAACAAAAACGAUCACGUCCGCGCUCGACUCGCUCUUUCGCAGCCUGAAACUGCCGCAGCGGCACAGCCUGGGCUUCGAUGAUGUCGAAGCAAUUGGACGCAAGAGCCGCGAGCGGCAGCAGGAGUUGGUGAAGCGGAAGGUGCUGUUGCGCGCUGGCGAGCUGGCGGAGGAGUCCUACACGGAGCUGAAGGAGGAAAUGGACCGAGAUGAGAAGUUUCUGCUGCGCAUGCAGCUCAUCGUCCUCGCGUUCCUUUCACAUUCGCAGCGCGGGGACGCGAUUCCGAUGUUCUGCUACCACAUCAUUCAGAUGGGCCGGCACCUGGACAACGAGAAAGUGCGCGUGGCGGCGACGAAAUCGCUUUGCUUGCAGUGCCUCAUCAACCCCGAGAGCGUCCACACCUUCAUGCCGCUCAUCCUGGCCGACUCGCAAGAGAAUGCUGGCGGCGCCGUAGGGGCCGACAUGAGCCUUCCCAUCGCGGCCAUCGGCGUCAUCUUUGAUCUCAUCAUGGAGUACGGGCUGCGCUUUUUCGACGUGGCGAAGCGGCCACCGAACGAGGCGAGGGCGUUGUACAACUCAGAGAGCGAGAUCGAGGCCCGCCUGCAGCGCGAGCAGGAAUUGGCGGAGGAGGACGUGCACAAAGUGGGCAGCAAGCGUCUUCUUUCAACGCUACAGUUUUACCUGCAGCCGGGCAACGAGGCCAAGCACAUCGUCACAUCCGCCGGCUUCUGCAAACUGCUGAGCUGCAACCGCCUUCCUGCAGAGGUGGUUCCACAUGUUGUAGCAGUUCUGCUUAUUCACUACACCGGUGCCAUGGCUUCGAAGAAGGAAAGCAUCACAGCCGCGUACAUGAUGGACUUCCUCGGCACCUUCUUCCGCAGCUAUGCCGCGAGCCACCCAAAGCGCCAGGUGCAGAUCUGCGAGGGCGGUAUCACUGCAUUCCGCGUCGUACUUGAGCGCAACAUCGCCAUGGCAUCGAGGCUGAUUGAGUUUGUUGCGCGUCUCACGGACGCCUACACGUUGACCGUCAUUCGCGACAUCGACCCGCAAGCGGCAAUGCGCGCGACCAGGGAUGUGGUGGACGAGACAGGAGGAGCAGCAGAAGAGGAGGUCGAGGCGCAGCGCAAGAGCAACCGCACCAACGCAACACGUUCUUCCAUGCAGUCUGGUCGCCUUUUCCGCGAACUGAGUCGCCACUCUCUUCACGAGCGUCUCUCGCAGGAGCUGCUGGUCGUGUUGGCGAGUAGCGAGCUCGUGGAGAGCCGCGCUGCCUGCAUGGAUGCUCUGGAGAAGUGCAUGUAUUUUUACAGCCUCGAACCGCAGCCCUUUUUACUCCACUGCGCCGCCGCGGCACUGGAGGCGACGCGGCAUGCUGCCCCUAUCGUGUACGACCGUCUAGAGGCCUGGCAGACGAAGCUUCGUGAGCGAUGCGCCGCGGCCGGCGCUGCGCCACAGUCGAACGGCCCCACGAGCGACGCCGAAAGCGCCGAUUCGCUCGAGCAGCGGUGGUGCGAGGCGUUAAAGGCACAUGAAGAGAAGCGGGACGCGCUGCUGGAGGCGGGCUUUGGCGGGUUCGCGUCCAUCCCACCUCAGCUCGAUGUUGCUUCACCCGUGAUGGUAAAGGUGGAAAUGGCGGAGUCGAAGCGGGAGCGCCACUCAGACGUGUUCGGCGUGGAAUCGAUUGUGGGUCCUCGCAAGCGAUCGAGGCACUGACGUGUAAGCACAGGCGCUCACGCAGGCCUGCAUGCUUCACAGCUUCGCAAUCCUCUCUAAAUGCGUUCUUCGGCAGCCGAUCUCUUCUCGCGUCGCCCUGCCCUCGUCGACGGACGCACCGCCGCUGUGGGCACGCUUUGCGACCUCCCUACUUGCAGAUGCUGUUGAGGUACAGGAAAUGGAGCGGUGACGAUGGCGGGGUUGCUGAGGGGUGGUAGAAGCGGCACCCCGGGGGCUGUGGCGCGGAAUGAGGUGGGCGCGAGAUAGGCGCACGUGUGCAUCUUCUGACACCGCGCGCAUGCCCUUCGUUCCUUGUCCUCCUUCCUGCCCCUCCUUUUUUUUUCUCUAUCUGCACGCCUCUGCGGUCCGUUUCACUCUUGCGUUUUCUCCUCACAUGCUCAGCCUCUGCAGCUGCUGUUGAUCCCCGUUGCUGUCCAGCGGAUGGACUUGAG
This 3975-nucleotide unclassified non-coding RNA is filed under the name Leishmania donovani. RNAcentral describes it as "gene:LdHU3.29.4070(CDS-product:Nuclear_condensing _complex_subunits_C-_domain_containing_protein_putative)". Lineage: Eukaryota; Euglenozoa; Kinetoplastea; Trypanosomatida; Trypanosomatidae. The record is from RNAcentral.